GCAAUACGGAGCGGCAGACGGGAGAGUAACACGUGGGAACGUGCCCUUCAGUUCGGAACAACCCAGGGGAACUUGGACUUUUACAGGAUACGUCCGAAAGGAGAAAGAUUUAUCGCUGAAGGAUCGGCCCGCGUCUGAUUAGCUAGUUGGUGGGGUAAUGGCCCACCAAGGCGACGAUCAGUAGCUGGUCUGAGAGGAUGAUCAGCCUCACUGGGACUGAGACACGGCCCAGACUCCUACGGGAGGCAGCAGUGGGGAAUAUUGGACAAUGGGCGCAAGCCUGAUCCAGCCAUGCCGCGUGGGUGAUGAAGGCCCUAGGG
Molecule: ribosomal RNA, 320 nt
Filed under: uncultured bacterium
Lineage: Bacteria
Description: bacterial SSU rRNA
Rfam family: Bacterial small subunit ribosomal RNA
Source: RNAcentral